RNAcentral lists this long non-coding RNA (3688 nucleotides) under Scleropages formosus (Asian bonytongue). RNAcentral describes it as "lncRNA (ENSSFOG00015027418.1)". The record is from RNAcentral. Lineage: Eukaryota; Metazoa; Chordata; Actinopteri; Osteoglossiformes; Osteoglossidae.
AUUUUAUCCCCUGAACUGCAGUCUGGGCAAACUAAGGACAGGAGCGGCGACACAGUUGCUGGUUAAUUAAAUUAAAUAACGAAUGAGCAGGAGAUAGACAGGGCAGUCUGCAGGUACACACACACAAGGGCAUGACAAAACCAGGGAAAUUAUUCGGCUUUUUACAUAUCGUGGUGCUCAAGAUUAUCCGAUUAUUUACGGUCAACCGUACAGUGACUUACCCAUGCACAGCCACAUGGUGUUUUCACUUCAUCGGCUCUGGGUGGAAGAACUUGUCCCAUGGCAUUGACGGGCAGGAAGAGGAAGAGCUCUGAGAAAGAGGAGCAACACCCAUUGGAGGACAACUGGGAACUGCACUCUGGAGAGCUCCAUAGGUUCUUUGAGUGUGAGCAGGCUGUGAACGUGCCGACAGGGACUUUAGCAGCUAAGGCUGUUGGAGAUGUCGAUGUACCCUCUAUGGAACCCGCUUCCACUCUAGCUCACUGUGGAACCGAGUUUGAUAUAAAAGACCGGCGAGACGAGUCGACAGGGGAAGCACAGCGGAACGACUCUGCAGGCAGUCUUCCAAGAACCAGUGUUGAGUGUGGUUUUACAGAGGCCAGUGGGGGACAGGGAGCCCCCGAGUCUCAGAAAUGCAGCAUCCUGACAGAGCUGCAAAUCCGCGGGAACCUCCUUGGCACCAAUCUCCCAGGGUCAGUUCACGGCUCAGAAGAACCAGAAAUAAAGAGCACUGUGGUCCCUGGAGGGGCAGGUGGCCAACACAGUGACCAACUGAUGCAUGAAGAGGAGAAGGGGCCUGGCUCCUGUGGAGAGAAUAUACUUGGUGUGAUGCAGGGUGUUCAGGAGAGUGCUCCAACAAAGGUGAGACUGCGGAGGAGGAUGGGAGCGUGGGAUUUUAGAGAUCGGGAGAGGAGGAACCACUGUGAAAGCCAGCUCAUGGGCCGUUGUCUAAGGAAGGGUGAAAACAAUGGAGAAGGAGAAAGACCUCAAGUGGAGGAAGAGAGUAAUGAGGAGGACCGAAAGGAUGAAGGAAGUGCAAAUUCGGACUCUGACAAAGGUGUCACAACCCGCAGUUCAGGACCAUUGGUCAGUGAGGUGUUUGUACACAGGGCUUUUCUCUCAGAUGGUCAUGGAAAGUUGAACCCUGCAGAUGACUGUGAGAGACGAUCUACAGCGGUCACCUCAGCUCCAGAUGAGUCUUUGGGCAGUGACCCGAAAAAGGAAGGGCCUUCUCGACCUGGAGCAUCUGCUACGCAUACAGUAAGAGAGUCGAAGUGUUUAUCCACGGAGAGUUUUUCCCAAGUGAUCGACUCCACCCCCUUGGCACCACCGUUUGUGCAGACCACUAGUGAAGGUCAAGAAAAUCCUUGUGAGAUGGAGGGUUUUCUGUUCAAGGAGAGGGCAAAUGAUGAGGAAGAAGAGAUUCUUCUCAGAGAUGAGCCACAGAAAAGUAUGAGGCUUGAGGCCAUGAACUAUACUGUGAUGGAGGAGGACAAAGUCCUUGGCUUUACCGUGCCUCAAAGUGACACACAGCACCGCAGCCUCUGUGACACGUUACCACAGGAAAACGCACCCAGCUCAGCUCAGCCAGGGGUCCUGCCAGUGGUCACAGCGGGCUGUGGUGCCCUUGGGAACACCAGCAAAGAUGCUGUCCAGCUUUUGUCUGUCAAGCCCUGCUCUGCUGCAGACUUCCCAGGGUGUACUGAGCUCGAGGAGGAGACCAGAGCCGGUGCUAACUCACACACACUUCACAAACUGAAUGAUGGGGAGGCAAGGUGUCUGGGUGCAGUACCAGCCUGGGAACUGUCAGCCAAUAUUGGAACAAACCUUUUAUGUGAUAAUCCACUUGCUGGGGAUUGCAGAGCAUCCCUGAGUGUUGAAGAUAUUGGUGAAUUGGAGGAAUAUCGUGGCAAUACUUGUGGAGCUGACUUGGUAACAGGUACCAGGAAGCCACCCGCCACCGAGCCGAUUCCCCCGAAAAUCGCCCUGGAAGUGGGUGGCCCGUUUCCUCCGAGUUGUGCGGCUGUGAAGGUAGAUGCGCAUGUCGCCCAAGUAAACUGUCAGACUGAGACUCGGAUGAAUUCUGAUCCGGCUUCACUCAAAGGCACCACCAUCUGUCUCAUCCAGCAGACAGACAGUGAGGAUAAGACAGCUCCCCCUCAUUCUGUAGAUGCCCCUACCCUUAGGGAUCUGGAGGCAGCCUGUCUGGCCAGUAGCGGUGGUCCUGCAGUAACCUCAGUGUCGCCCCCUGCCUCUGUGGAGGAUCCCUUGUCCUGGAAGAAUCUAGUGCAGAACCUCAGCACUGAGGUGCGAGAUGAGUCACUGUCCCCAGUAGAUGGCGGGUCUUUAGACACCUGUCUCAGCUCUGCUGCCUCUCGGUCAUCCAUGCCAAACAGCCCCCCAGCUUGCACUGUCCCCACUGUCCUCGAUCCUGAGGUCUCAUUCUCCCUCUUCUCGCUGUCUGACUCCCAAAUAGACAACCUCAUGCUCAGUCAAAUGGACGACCAAGCCCCAUACCCCACUGAGGAGGAGGAAGAUGCCACUGAACUUAUGUGUGGACUUAUUAAGGAGCUUUCUUCCCUUAAUCAGACAGUGAUGGCUGCCCACAGGGAGCUGGAAAGCCUGCGCCGUGGCAACAAAACCUCGAGACCUCCCAUCACUUGGUCUUCUUGCCCCCCAAAGCAUUGAAUUUGGAGGUAGUGGAGCAAUGUAGUCUCAUCCCACGUUUGCUCUUUGCAUGCAGCUGCAGUUGUGGAAAAGGCUUUAAUUUUUCCUCCUUUCAUCCAUUCACACUAUGGCUGCCUUGACUGCUGCACUCUGUUCCUGACCAGCGGGGUUCACCUCCUGCACUGUGCAGCAAGGCUGUAAAAUGCCUUUGUGAGGUCUACUGGUUUUUGCCCUACCUCACAACUUGUUCAGUUGAAUAGGGCCAUGACUCUCGGCUCCGGUCCACAGUGCGUUAAACUUCUUACGAGUUUUGUUGCGAGAGGGAGUGUUCAGUUGGACCAUCUGGAGUGAGAUGUUACUGAUUUCAGCACUGAAGCCUGAAUAGCUAAACGUACAGUGACCUGCAAGGUCCCAGGUUGCCUAUCAUUGGAGCCAUUUGUCUGCUCCCCCUUUCUCUUUUGUCUGACUAAUCUGAGGGGACCAGAGGACUGGGGUUUCCCUUGGUCUUCAAGAUCACUGACCCAGACAAACAGUGUUGAUGUGGAACAUCAACGAAGCCUCAGUGGGCUUUGGUUCCUUUUUAAGGCUGGGCUGUACCAUGAGGGGCUAAUGUACUUUUUGGCCAGGCUCUUGGCUUCUUAAACAAAUGAUUUCCCUAACUGCACUAAUGUAACCUUCUCGCUCAGUGCUUAGGAUCUUAAACGUGUCAAAAGAGCUAAAUAACCCAAACAGAGUGGAGUCCUACAGGAGAAGGAUUAGACAACCCAGAAUUAAAGAUUUAAUUACUUUGCUGGAAGAGUGUGUGCUUCAAAUUAAUGAAGGUGACAGCUUGUUUCCAUGAAGGGCCAAGUUUUCACUCUAAAUGCUCCUCCUAGUUAUCCUGUCUGCACUUUGCUAUUUUUUUCCAUUCGAUUUUGGUGCCUUUAGUCCACACCUGAUAAAUGCGGUGUUUUUUUGAAGCAUGCAUUUAUGUUUGUAUAAUUAUAAACCUGGAAUUAAACCAGUUAGACCAGGGAAAGGA